This 429-nucleotide ribosomal RNA is filed under the name Bacillota bacterium. RNAcentral describes it as "Firmicutes bacterium partial 16S ribosomal RNA". It matches the Rfam family "Bacterial small subunit ribosomal RNA", at positions 355 to 776 of the family's 1533-position model. Lineage: Bacteria; Bacillati; Bacillota. The record is from RNAcentral.
UAGGGAAUCUUCGGCAAUGGACGGAAGUCUGACCGAGCAACGCCGCGUGAGUGAAGAAGGUUUUCGGAUCGUAAAGCUCUGUUGUUAGAGAAGAACGUUGGUAGGAGUGGAAAAUCUACCAAGUGACGGUAACUAACCAGAAAGGGACGGCUAACUACGUGCCAGCAGCCGCGGUAAUACGUAGGUCCCGAGCGUUGUCCGGAUUUAUUGGGCGUAAAGCGAGCGCAGGCGGUUCUUUAAGUCUGAAGUUAAAGGCAGUGGCUUAACCAUUGUACGCAUUGGAAACUGGAGGACUUGAGAGCAGAAGGGGAGAGUGGAAUUCGAUGUGUAGCGGUGAAAUGCGUAGAUAUAUGGAGGAACACCGGUGGCGAAAGCGGCUCUCUGGUCUGUAACUGACGCUGAGGCUCGAAAGCGUGGGGAGCAAACAGG